This 200-nucleotide long non-coding RNA is filed under the name Elaeis guineensis (African oil palm). Its description in RNAcentral is "long non-coding RNA (EGUI_LNC036983)". Lineage: Eukaryota; Viridiplantae; Streptophyta; Magnoliopsida; Arecales; Arecaceae. The record is from RNAcentral.
UUGCAUGGAAAGGUAUUUUUUCAGAUCACUCGUAGUCACACAAAGGUAUUUGACCUCUACAGAUUGUCCACAUGAAGAAUGGAUACUGAUCAGGCUCCUCGGGAGUGCUAGCUCGCAAGGAUCUUUGAAGGCUGAUCUUCUUCUUCUUCCUUUGAUCUCUUAGAUGCUCUAAAGAGAAAGAAGGAUUAAUGGAGGAAGAG